RNAcentral lists this ribosomal RNA (357 nucleotides) under Kinosternon scorpioides cruentatum. RNAcentral's name for it is "partial 12S ribosomal RNA". It matches the Rfam family "Bacterial small subunit ribosomal RNA", at positions 875 to 1361 of the family's 1533-position model. Lineage: Eukaryota; Metazoa; Chordata; Testudines; Kinosternidae. The record is from RNAcentral.
AGAUAUUUUAAAUACAAAAAAUAUUCGCCAGAGAAUUACGAGCUAAAUAUGCUUAAAACUCUAAGGACUUGGCGGUACCUCAAACCCACCUAGAGGAGCCUGUUCUAUAAUCGACAAUCCACGAUUCACCUCACCAUCUCUUGCCAACUCCGCCUAUAUACCGCCGUCAAGCUUACCUUAUGAAAGAUAAAAAGUAAGCAAAAUAAUAUAAACAAUUAAUAGAUCAGGUCAAGGUGUAGCUUACUGAGAUGGAAGAAAUGGGCUACAUUUUCUAUACUAGAAAUAACCUACGGAAAGAUACCCUGAAAUAGGUUCUACAAGCAGGAUUUAGCAGUAAACUGGGAAAAGAGAGCCCAA